UAGGUGCAGAUUCAUGUGUGCAUGCAUGAGU
This 31-nucleotide non-coding RNA is filed under the name Mus musculus (house mouse). The record is from RNAcentral. Lineage: Eukaryota; Metazoa; Chordata; Mammalia; Rodentia; Muridae.